AAAGAGGAAGAUCCUUGUCUUGGAGCUGCUGUGCAAAGGAGGAUGUGCAGGGAGAUGUCUUUGUCCUUGGACAACGAUUCAGCCUACCAGAGUGUUGCAGACAGGAGAAACCAUGUGCUGCCUCCAAGUUUCUCAAUUCCUAUAGAAAACACCUCAUCUCCAGGAAGCCAGCAUCAGUCCCCUCUGGGAUUGCCCAAGGUAAAAAAAGCUGAC
Long non-coding RNA from Apus apus (common swift), 213 nucleotides. RefSeq lists it as uncharacterized. The transcript is spliced from 3 exons. The record is from RefSeq and is a predicted model, not a curated record. NCBI's taxonomy places the organism in Eukaryota, Metazoa, Chordata, Aves, Apodiformes, Apodidae.